Molecule: non-coding RNA, 46 nt
Organism: Trichobilharzia regenti
Lineage: Eukaryota; Metazoa; Platyhelminthes; Trematoda; Strigeidida; Schistosomatidae
Source: Rfam
AUCCAGUUGACGAGUCCCAAUAUAGGUCGAAAUGCGCAUCGUGGAU